Molecule: long non-coding RNA, 576 nt
Organism: Pocillopora damicornis (cauliflower coral)
Lineage: Eukaryota; Metazoa; Cnidaria; Anthozoa; Scleractinia; Pocilloporidae
Source: RefSeq, a predicted model, not a curated record
AAGCUCUUGUAUCUGAUGAGUAUUUUCCUAUGAAUGAUAAAUAAAUACCUAAAGGUGAAAGGUUUUUUUUUAUAUUAACCAUUUUGUAUUGCAUGAGAUUUCAACUGCAAAGUCCAUGAAAAGUAGUGUGAUUGUCUGGGUUGAGAUAAUUAAUGUAUAAUUUGUUUAAGGAUUUCUUCUAAUUAAUGAACUACAGUUGAAUUGUAAAAAGGAAAUCUGACUGUUAAACAAAAAUUUUUCAAACCAUGCAGAUAUACUGGUUCAAGUACUUCAGAUUGCUUUUGAACAAUCUCAUCUUAUGAAAAAAGAACCCACAUCAUAUUCAUAUAUGAUGUCAGCUCUUUCUUCAAAAAAAGUGGGAAGUGAUUGAAAUCACAAGGGCUUGAGUUUUUAAUUCAUGUAGUUUAAGAAAAUAAGUCAAUUGUGGUAAUGAUGUUUCCUUUUGAACACUGGGAAGGUACCUUUGGUAUCAAAACUGUUCUGAAGGUCAAAAUCAAAGACACUUACUGAGAAUCUCUGCUCAUAAGUGAGAGUAUUUCUGUAAUUUUAUGUUAAUUAAUAAACUAUGUUAAUGAC